UUCUACGGCCAUACCACCCUUAACGCACCCAAUCUCAUCUGAUCUCGGAAGCUAAGCAGGGUCGAGCCUGGUUAGUACUUGGAUGGGAGAAACACAGCAUGAAGUUUUUAAAA
Ribosomal RNA from Mustela putorius furo (domestic ferret), 113 nucleotides. NCBI's taxonomy places the organism in Eukaryota, Metazoa, Chordata, Mammalia, Carnivora, Mustelidae. The record is from Ensembl.